This 1402-nucleotide ribosomal RNA is filed under the name uncultured bacterium. Its description in RNAcentral is "bacterial SSU rRNA". It matches the Rfam family "Bacterial small subunit ribosomal RNA". The record is from RNAcentral.
GAAUUCGCCCUUAGAGUUUGAUCCUGGCUCAGGAUGAACGCUGGCGGCGUGCUUAACACAUGCAAGUCGAACGAAGCACUUUAACCUGAUUCUUCGGAUGAAGGUUUUUGUGACUGAGUGGCGGACGGGUGAGUAACGCGUGGGUAACCUGCCUCAUACAGGGGGAUAACAGUUAGAAAUGACUGCUAAUACCGCAUAAGACCACAGAGCCGCAUGGCUCAGUGGGAAAAACUCCGGUGGUAUGAGAUGGACCCGCGUCUGAUUAGGUAGUUGGUGGGGUAACGGCCUACCAAGCCAACGAUCAGUAGCCGACCUGAGAGGGUGACCGGCCACAUUGGGACUGAGACACGGCCCAAACUCCUACGGGAGGCAGCAGUGGGGAAUAUUGCACAAUGGGCGCAAGCCUGACCCAGCAACGCCGCGUGAAGGAAGAAGGCUUUCGGGUUGUAAACUUCUUUUGUCAGGGACGAGUAGAAGACGGUACCUGACGAAUAAGCCACGGCUAACUACGUGCCAGCAGCCGCGGUAAUACGUAGGUGGCAAGCGUUGUCCGGAUUUACUGGGUGUAAAGGGCGUGUAGCCGGGAGGGCAAGUCAGAUGUGAAAUCCACGGGCUUAACUCGUGAACUGCAUUUGAAAACUGUUCUUCUUGAGUAUCGGAGAGGCAAUCGGAAUUCCUAGUGUAGCGGUGAAAUGCGUAGAUAUUAGGAGGAACACCAGUGGCGAAGGCGGCUUGCUGGGCUUUAACUGACGCUGAGGCUCGAAAGUGUGGGGAGCAAACAGGAUUAGAUACCCUGGUAGUCCACACUGUAAACGAUGAUAGCUAGGUGUGGGGGGUCUGACCCCUUCCGUGCCGGAGUUAACGCAAUAAGCUAUCCACCUGGGGAGUACGACCGCAAGGUUGAAACUCAAAGGAAUUGACGGGGGCCCGCACAAGCAGUGGAUUAUGUGGUUUAAUUCGAAGCAACGCGAAGAACCUUACCAGGUCUUGACAUCCGACUAACGAGAUAGAGAUAUGUCAGGUGCCCUUCGGGGAAAGUCGAGACAGGUGGUGCAUGGUUGUCGUCAGCUCGUGUCGUGAGGUGUUGGGUUAAGUCCCGCAACGAGCGCAACCCCUGCCAUUAGUUGCUACGCAAGAGCACUCUAAUGGGACCGCUACCGACAAGGUGGAGGAAGGUGGGGACGACGUCAAAUCAUCAUGCCCCUUAUGACCUGGGCUACACACGUAAUACAAUGGCCGUUAACAGAGGGAAGCAAAGCGGUGACGCAGAGCAAAACCCUAAAAACGGUCCCAGUUCGGACUGUAGGCUGCAACCCGCCUACACGAAGUUGGAAUUGCUAGUAAUCGCGGAUCAGCAUGCCGCGGUGAAUACGUUCCCGGGCCUUGCACUCACCGCCCGUCA